CCGCUGUAUUAUCAACGUUAUGAUCUUGUUUAUUUUGUGUAUACAGAUACGCAAUAAUGUGAAUGGUUUCAUAAUACGUUGUCCAGCAUAUAUGGAAUAUGAUAAGGACACAAAUUCAUGUGAAUGUAUAAAAGGAUAUAAAUGGAGCGAGGAAGUUCAAAAAUGUGUUAAAGAUAGUACUGGUUGCUGCUUGCCGGGUGCACCUGGG
Mytilus trossulus (common blue mussel) is the source of this 208-nucleotide long non-coding RNA. RefSeq lists it as uncharacterized. The transcript has 3 exons. The record is from RefSeq and is a predicted model, not a curated record. NCBI's taxonomy places the organism in Eukaryota, Metazoa, Mollusca, Bivalvia, Mytilida, Mytilidae.